UACAGAGGUCCCAAGCGUUGUUCGGAUUCACUGGGCGUAAAGGGUGCGUAGGCGGUUUGACAAGUCUGAUGUGAAAUCCCGCAGCUUAACUGCGGAACUGCAUUGGAAACUGUCUGACUAGAGGAAUGGAGGGGAGACUGGAAUGCUUGGUGUAGCAGUGAAAUGCGUAGAUAUCAAGCGGAACACCAGUGGCGAAGGCGAGUCUCUGGACAGUUCCUGACGCUGAGGCGCGAAGGCCAGGGGAGCAAACGGG
Molecule: ribosomal RNA, 253 nt
Filed under: uncultured bacterium
Lineage: Bacteria
Description: partial 16S ribosomal RNA
Rfam family: Bacterial small subunit ribosomal RNA
Source: RNAcentral